This 294-nucleotide long non-coding RNA is filed under the name Elaeis guineensis (African oil palm). RNAcentral's name for it is "long non-coding RNA (EGUI_LNC054436)". The record is from RNAcentral. Lineage: Eukaryota; Viridiplantae; Streptophyta; Magnoliopsida; Arecales; Arecaceae.
GCAUGAACCAAAUCAAAAAAAAAAAAAGAAAGAGAAAAAUAGAGCACAUCAUUAGUCAAAGACCAACCAAGAAGAUAUCGACUUAGCAAAUUUGAAGCUUUGAACUAAAUAGGAAGCCAGUGGUAAUAGAAUUCCAAUUCGAUAAUGCAAUCCAUUUGUUAUGAUAUCCAAGUUUAUGAUGGUAUUGCAACUUAGCAAUCUAGUCAAAAGUCAGUUGAUCAAAAUAAAUAUAUUAUUUUGGCAAAUAUUUAGUGUCAUUCACCAUAAGGAGGCAUAAAGAUGGUCAUGAGGAAG